Molecule: ribosomal RNA, 497 nt
Filed under: uncultured bacterium
Lineage: Bacteria
Description: partial 16S ribosomal RNA
Rfam family: Bacterial small subunit ribosomal RNA
Source: RNAcentral
GAUGAACGCUGGCGGCGUGCCUAAUACAUGCAAGUCGAGCGAACAGACGAGGAGCUUGCUCCUCUGACGUUAGCGGCGGACGGGUGAGUAACACGUGGAUAACCUACCUAUAAGACUGGGAUAACUUCGGGAAACCGGAGCUAAUACCGGAUAAUAUAUUGAACCGCAUGGUUCAAUAGUGAAAGACGGUUUUGCUGUCACUUAUAGAUUGAUCCGCGCCGAAUUAGCUAGUUGGUAAGGUAACGGCUUACCAAGGCAACGAUGCGUAGCCGACCUGAGAGGGUGAUCGGCCACACUGGAACUGAGACACGGUCCAGACUCCUACGGGAGGCAGCAGUAGGGAAUCUUCCGCAAUGGGCGAAAGCCUGACGGAGCAACGCCGCGUGAGUGAUGAAGGUCUUCGGAUCGUAAAACUCUGUUAUUAGGGAAGAACAAAUGUGUAAGUAACUAUGCACGUCUUGACGGUACCUAAUCAGAAAGCCACGGCUAACUACGUG